GGACAGGGCAGCUUAGGGGAAUAAGUCUCUGCAGCGUUGUAGUGAAGAGAGAAUACGGGACAACUGCAGGACCACAGCUCAGCCAAGAGCUCCCUUGCAGCUGAGUUGGCCAUAUGACUGACAGCAAGCCCUGGAAUGCAGCCAGAAGUGAUAGAAGCCUCUUUCACACCAUGCUCCUAAAAUAUUCCAAGAAAUUUUCCAAACCUACUCUUUUUAGUCUGUGCAUCUGGAAGUGAAAGUUUUAGAAAGGGUAAAGUCACUUAAUGGAAAGGGCCCAGAUCUAGCCCCUCGGAGCCAAGCUGUCCAACUAGAAAUUCUGCAUUAGUAUUUGCGACCCCAGUAAAAAAAAAAAAGUCCCACAAAGAUGUAGGAUCUCACUUUGCCUGCGUUAAUUCCCUGUCCUUUGCCCAGUUUCUCCUCUCUUGGAAGGCAGAGGCAGCUUCUGAUUUUGAUCACUUCAUGUCCAGAUGUACCUUCCACGACCCAGGACUGUCUUUCUCAACAACUUGGAAGCCAUCCCUUUGUAAUGUAAUGAUCAAGAAAAAUAGGGCCCAUGCCUACCUGUCUCCAUGGGAAGCAGAUCUUUGGAGAGAAAAUGCCAAGAGUGGAUGGAGAGGCAAUGGUGAAGCUGAGGCUGAAGUCGGAGGAAGCUGUGAACCCUGCAUGGGGUACCUGAACACCAGGGCAAGUUUCUGGCCCAGAAUGGCUUCUGGGAAAGGGGAUAUGACAUCUUAGGAAGAAGGGACUGGGGGAAAGAAAGCACUUUCUGCUUCUGUGGAUAUAAACACACAGUGUUUUAUUCCCUAGUGCAACAAAACCUCAAGAUCAACAGACAAGAGCUGAAAACCCUUUCCCACCAGACACAGUGCCAUCUAAAUGUUCUCUCAAAAGAUAGCAUCUCAUAAACAAUUUCAACAAAAGGAUGUCAGCUUUUACUUUAUGUGCAUGCACAAAAUCACUUUUCAGGAAAAAAAAUGACCAUUACCGAAUCCAUCAUAAAAUUAAUUACAUUUAGUUGAUCACGUUGGCUGACUGGUUAUAACUCUUGCUGUAUUUUCCAGAAGUGUGUUUCAUUUUAUUUAUCAUUAAAGGAAAAAAUAUUGUAGUUUUCCAAUAUACUGUCUAUUGGUGGUUCUCAAACUCCAGUGUAUGCCACAAUUGCCAAAGAAAUUUAACUAAAUGCAGAUUCCUUGGCACUGUCCCUCAAAAUUCCUAUUUACUUUUUCUGGUAUAAGGUACAGAUAAUUCUGAUUUACUUAAGCUAUGGUUUUAGAAACACUACACUCUAAUUCUAAUUAUUCAUGUUAGUUCUCAUGAAAAUAUUCACAUUAAUUCUAAUGAAAUAUAAUGUGACAAUACUAUAUGUAAGAAUUUCCUCCCUGACUUCAUUUUGAUAUGAAUAGGAGGCAGGGAAAUACUGGGUAGAAGGGGGCAGUUCCCCAGCAAAGGCCCCACCUGAACCCUGGAAACCCAUGGCCCUAAAUGGGAACAGGCAUUUCUGUUUUUGCACCCAAAUGUUGCCUUUUCCAAGACCAUUCUGGCCUGCCAUGCCCCUAUCCUGUGUCCAUAUAAACUCCAAGCUCCAGUGGCAAAGUGGCAGAAUGGCAUGACAGAGAAGCAGAGAAUAGAAGGAGUGUCUGAACAUCAGGAAGAUUUUGGCUGGGGACGGUCGGAGAGAGAUCAGCUGCAGGAUGACUGAACUCCAGGGGAAGAUCAUCUUCCCACUCCAUCCCCUUUCCAGGUCCCCAUCCAUCCCACUGAGAGCCACCCCCAUCACUCAAUAAAAUCCCCACAUUCACCAUCCUUCAAGUUCGUGUGACCUGAUUCUCUCUGGAUCCUGGACAAGGACCUGGGUACCAAGAGGGCAGGGUGUAAAAGGCUGUCACCCUGACUCUCCACUGAGCUGGAAUAGCCAUCCAUGGACAGCAACUGCUAAAAGAGCAUUAAGUGUAAUAUAUCCCUAGAUGCUAAAGUGGAGUUGGAGCCCAAGAGUGCUCACCCCAGCUCCUGCACCUGCCCAUCUGCAUGCUCCUACUCCCAUAAGGGGUUUGAGCAUGCAGUGGCCCAGCAAACAAGCCACAUCCCUGUUGCAAGUCCCACAACGGGGUCAGGGAACUCUCCCGUUUUAAUUUCAUUGGUAAUUUCCUAAAAUUGACUGUUGAUUCCUAUGUUCCUUUCAAUGGAUUGCUCUUUUGAGGAAAUUACAUAUUCAGAUUAUCUAAAUGAUGCUGUGAAGUCAUAAUUCUUGACAAAACUGAAGCAGGAAAAGAAAAGUGCCACAAAACUGGGGAGACAAGAAGUUCAUUGAAGAGCUGAUAAAAGCUAUGUGCCCCUUUCCAAGAAAAAAAUAAGGCACAUUCACACAAAUUUUACACCAUUUCAAUAGGUUCACAGACCUCAGACUAGAGAUUUCUAUCCUAAUGUGUUCAUAAGUCACAAAUUUAAAGGCAAAUUCUUAUUUGAGUUUAGGAAUAUGAAGGCAAUAUGUUCUGUCACACAGUGUGACUACAACUAAACGUAGUAUCAUGGAAGCUUCAUGAAACAUGAGGCAGGUCUUCCAGUUCUAAGAAACAUAAAAGACACUUGUUAACAAACAUGCCACUUCCAAACUUUCUGAUGUAAAAUAAAGUUUAGCAGCUAAUUAUUUCCUGUAAUUCAUGGAAGUAGCCAGAGCCGAUCAUUUUAAAUCCAAAAGUACAAGAAUUUAGGAAGGAAAAUGUUAAGAAUGGGAUAGAAACAGGAUGAGUUUUUGUAGUUGAUUUCUUAUAUUCCUGAAAUAAACCCCAAAAUCUCUAAUUUUGUUGAUACCUUAGUACUGUGUAAAGCAUUCUGUUAUGCGUUAGUGACUAAUUCUACAUGGACUGCCUAUUAUAUCAUAUGUAAUAAUUCAGCAAAACAGAAGACCACUAGCAAAGUCUAAGCAGAGCCAGAAAUUCCAUGAAGAUAUUAAGUUUGCUCAUCGUAUUUUAUCUAUCUGAUUGCACAAUUAGAGGAAUGGUGAGAUCAUGUCUACAAAGAAAAGUGAGCCUCUCUAAAGAAAGAUAUUACAAUAAUGCAAAGCAUUGCUUCACCAUCUUAAAAUGGAAUAUCAUUGCCAUCCAUUUAAAAAGUUCUAGGAGAAUUAAAUAAACUGAGAGUUUUUAAAAAGACUUUGUCCAGAGGCAAGGAUAGAUGAGGGACUAUUAAUCCAGACUGUGGCCAGUUGCUUAUUGUUUGUAAGAAACUAACACAAUAUUUAGUGGCUUAAAGUAACAAUUUGCUUAUGCUUCUGUGGGUCAGUAUUUUGGGCUGCAUUCAUCUGGAACAGUUUCAAUCUAUGCUCUAUGUGGUGUCAAUGGGGCUCACUCAUCUGUCUGAGGCCUCAGCUGGAACAAUGUGAAUGAUUGAGAUGACUGAGCUGUCUGGGUCUCUCUCCACAUGGUCUCUCAUUCCCCCAUAGACAGGGCUCCAAGAGGACUAAAACAAAACCUUCAAAGUCUCUUAAGACCUCAGCUCAGAUCUCACAUAGUGUCACUUCCACUGUAUUAUGUUGAUCAAAGGAAGCUACAAAGCCAGCCAACAGUGGGGAAAUAAACUCUACCUCUUCACAGGAGGAACUGCAAAUAAUUUGUGGCUGUUUUUAUCUAAGAAAGAUACUAUUCCGUAAAACUGUACUACAUACAAUGCAAGAUUUUUUUCUAAAUAGAAAAGAAAAUGCAUUUCAUUAAGAAACUAUUGACCUGAAUGCUAAAGAAUGAUAAGCGGGUAAAUGUACUUUGUGACAACUUGAUGAGCUGUUGUAUUUUGUUGGGGAUAGGAGGUGCAGAAAGAUGGAUGGAAUGCUAGACACAUGAUGUAUCCAUUUGGAUAAAUUAUUCUGGUAAGUUCCAAAAGCUAUAAGAAACUGUUACCUCUAAUUUUAAUAACUAUUGUUAAGUUGAUGGAUUAGCAAAUAUCAUGCCA
Long non-coding RNA from Homo sapiens (human), 3942 nucleotides. Ensembl annotates it as long intergenic non-protein coding RNA 499. NCBI's taxonomy places the organism in Eukaryota, Metazoa, Chordata, Mammalia, Primates, Hominidae. The record is from Ensembl.